CCCAUGCAGUUAGAAAGCCUCCACGGUGUUUAUUUCAGAUGGCACAAAAAUUAAUAUUAAAAUAAUACCGAUAGGCCUACCAAUAAAUCUGUUCCACACAAACUUAAUUUGGCCAGACUUAUCAAGUAUAUAGCUUCAAGUUAGCUUUUUCAUCCGAGUAGUAUAGACAAUCCUCUUCUUUCACAUCAUUGAAUAAGCUAGAUUUGCUUCUGUAACAAUUAAAUUAAGCUAAUUUUGGGCUAUUUAAUGGGAAUUAAAACACCGACAAUACCUUUCUUUGUCUUUGAUACUCCUGGCCUUUCUCUGUCUUAUUGUUGCUCGUUUAACAGACUUUCGUUUGCACUCUUCCUCUUCUUUUUCUUCAUAGUAGUCAUACAAUUUCUUUGUCCAUGUUCCUACUCCACGAAUAUGAAGCCAAACGUAGCCCGUCAAAUCUGGUGAGCUGCUGAUCGUAAAUGGAUGCCAUUCGUAUUUUGCAAUUUGCGGUAUAUUGACUAUCACGUAGUCACCAGGUUUGUAAUGGAAAUUGGGGGGUCGCUUGAUCACCAAAUGUGUUACCU
Molecule: non-coding RNA, 560 nt
Organism: Paramuricea clavata
Lineage: Eukaryota; Metazoa; Cnidaria; Anthozoa; Malacalcyonacea; Plexauridae
Source: the annotation of a GenBank genome assembly